AGAUUGAACGCUGGCGGAAUGCUUUACACAUGCAAGUCGAGCGGCAGCGCGGGGGCAACCCUGGCGGCGAGCGGCGAACGGGUGAGUAAUACAUCGGAACAUGUCCAGUUGUGGGGGAUAGCCCGGCGAAAGCCGGAUUAAUACCGCAUGAGCUCGAGAGAGGAAAGCGGGGGACCGUAAGGCCUCGCGCGACUGGGUUGGCCGAUGUCCGAUUAGCUAGUUGGUGGGGUAAAGCCUACCAAGGCGAUGAUCGGUAGCUGGUCUGAGAGGAUGAUCAGCCACACUGGGACUGAGACACGGCCCAGACUCCUACGGGAGCAGCAGUGGGAUUUUGGACAGUGGGGCAACCGUGAUCAGCC
Molecule: ribosomal RNA, 359 nt
Filed under: uncultured soil bacterium
Lineage: Bacteria
Description: bacterial SSU rRNA
Rfam family: Bacterial small subunit ribosomal RNA
Source: RNAcentral